GCACUCCCGGGGCGUCUCUAUCUCAUUGCGAGAGGAGGCGCACCUAGAGCGUACACGCUGAUACCCGAAAGAUGGUGAACUAUGCCUGGCCAGGACGAAGCCAGGGGAAACCCUGGUGGAGGUCCGUAGCGAUUCUGACGUGCAAAUCGAUCGUCGGAGCUGGGUUUAGGGGCGAAAGACCAAUCGAACCAUCUAGUAGCUGGUUCCCUCUGAAGUUUCCCUCAGGAUAGCUUGCGCUCGGAAACAACGAGUCUCAUCCGGUAGAGCGAAUGAUUAGAGGCCUUGGGGUCGAAACGACCUCAACCUAUUCUCAAACUCCAAAUAGAUGAGAACCCCGGCUUUCUUAAAACCUGUUUUAUGAAGCCGGGGGCUCGGAUCAGAGUGCCAAGUGGGCCAAUUUUGGUAAGCAGAACUGGCGCUGUGGGAUGAACCAAACGCGGAGUUAAGGCGCCUCAAUCGACGCUCAUGUGAAACCAUGAAAGGCGUUGGUUGCUUAAGACAGCAG
This 505-nucleotide ribosomal RNA is filed under the name Stenotus rubrovittatus (sorghum plant bug). Its description in RNAcentral is "partial large subunit ribosomal RNA". It matches the Rfam family "Eukaryotic large subunit ribosomal RNA", at positions 755 to 1243 of the family's 3401-position model. Lineage: Eukaryota; Metazoa; Arthropoda; Insecta; Hemiptera; Miridae. The record is from RNAcentral.